UUUUUAUUUUUUUUCUUUUGAAAAUCUUGACCCAAGAGUAUGUCAGAUCCGCCACAAAUAUAGAAAAUCCACUGUUCACACGGGCAGAGUCUCCCAUAUGUUUGCACGGCGUCGCACAAGAACAAGAUACAACCACAAUAGUAUGAACAUUCACAUACAUUCACCAUUUAUUUCAUCACAGAUAUUUAUAAUUUCACAUCUAUUAGUUUAAAAUAUUUCCUACCCGAAAACUCACUUUGAAAUUGUAAG
RNAcentral lists this long non-coding RNA (249 nucleotides) under Ananas comosus (pineapple). RNAcentral's name for it is "long non-coding RNA (ACOM_LNC005385)". Lineage: Eukaryota; Viridiplantae; Streptophyta; Magnoliopsida; Poales; Bromeliaceae. The record is from RNAcentral.